CCUACGGGGCGCUGCAGUGAGGAAUAUUGGUCAAUGGUCGGGAGACUGAACCAGCCAAGCCGCGUGAGGGAUGAAGGUACAGAGUAUCGUAAAUCUCUUUUGUCAGGGAACAAAGGCGGGGACGUGUCCCCGGAUGCGUGUACCUGAAGAAAAAGCAUCGGCUAACUCCGUGCCAGCAGCCGCGGUAAUACGGAGGAUGCGAGCGUUAUCCGGAUUUAUUGGGUUUAAAGGGUGCGCAGGCGGUCUGUUAAGUCAGCGGUCAAAGCCCGGGGCUCAACCCCGGCCCGCCGUUGAAACUGGCAGUCUCGAGUUGGAGAGAAGUAUGCGGAAUGCGCGGUGUAGCGGUGAAAUGCAUAGAUAUCGCGCAGAACUCCGAUUGCGAAGGCAGCAUGCCGGCUCCACACUGACGCUGAGGCACGAAAGCGUGGGUAUCGAACAGGAUUAGAUACCCGAGUAGUC
This 459-nucleotide ribosomal RNA is filed under the name uncultured bacterium. RNAcentral's name for it is "partial 16S ribosomal RNA". It matches the Rfam family "Bacterial small subunit ribosomal RNA", at positions 338 to 795 of the family's 1533-position model. The record is from RNAcentral.